RNAcentral lists this ribosomal RNA (253 nucleotides) under uncultured prokaryote. Its description in RNAcentral is "partial 16S ribosomal RNA". It matches the Rfam family "Bacterial small subunit ribosomal RNA", at positions 524 to 776 of the family's 1533-position model. The record is from RNAcentral.
UACGAAGGGGGCUAGCGUUGUUCGGAUUUACUGGGCGUAAAGCGCGUGUAGGCGGGUCGUUAAGUUGGGGGUGAAAUCCCGAGGCUCAACCUCGGAACUGCCUUCAAAACUGGCGACCUGGACUCAAGUAGAGGCAAGUGGAAUUGCGAGUGUAGAGGUGAAAUUCGUAGAUAUUCGCAGGAACACCAGUGGCGAAGGCGGCUUCCUGGACCGACACUGACGCUGAGGCGCGAAAGCUAGGGGAGCAAACGGG